GGGCGUAUAGCACAAUGGUUAAUGCUACCGGCUCAUAACCGGCGGAUUCAAGGUUCGAGUCCUUGUGCGCCCACCA
This 76-nucleotide transfer RNA is filed under the name Caudoviricetes sp. Its description in RNAcentral is "tRNA-Met". It matches the Rfam family "tRNA". Rfam says of the family: Transfer RNA (tRNA) molecules are approximately 80 nucleotides in length. Their secondary structure includes four short double-helical elements and three loops (D, anti-codon, and T loops). Further hydrogen bonds mediate the characteristic L-shaped molecular structure. tRNAs have two regions of fundamental functional importance: the anti-codon, which is responsible for specific mRNA codon recognition, and the 3' end, to which the tRNAs corresponding amino acid is attached (by aminoacyl-tRNA synthetases). tRNAs cope with the degeneracy of the genetic code in two manners: having more than one tRNA (with a specific anti-codon) for a particular amino acid; and 'wobble' base-pairing, i.e. permitting non-standard base-pairing at the 3rd anti-codon position. The record is from RNAcentral. Lineage: Duplodnaviria; Heunggongvirae; Uroviricota; Caudoviricetes.